UUACGCCCACGUCAUCAUCGAAACACCUGUUCUCGUACAAUCACAGAAGUUAAAUCGAGCCUGGUUACUACCUAGACAGGUGACCGCUUGGGAAUACCAGGUGCUGUAAG
This is a non-coding RNA of Acanthosepion pharaonis, 110 nucleotides long. NCBI's taxonomy places the organism in Eukaryota, Metazoa, Mollusca, Cephalopoda, Sepiida, Sepiidae. The record is from the annotation of a GenBank genome assembly.